RNAcentral lists this ribosomal RNA (400 nucleotides) under uncultured bacterium. Its description in RNAcentral is "partial 16S ribosomal RNA". It matches the Rfam family "Bacterial small subunit ribosomal RNA", at positions 360 to 776 of the family's 1533-position model. The record is from RNAcentral.
AAUAUUGCGCAAUGGCCGCAAGGCUGACGCAGCGACGCCGCGUGGGGGAUGAAGGCUCUCGGGUCGUAAAUCCUUUUUGGCUGGGACGACGACUGACGGUAACAGCCGAAGAAGCCCCGGCAAACUAAGUCCCAGCAGUCGCGGUAAUCCGCAGGGGGCGCGCGUUGUCCGGGUUUACUGGGCGUAAAGCGUCCGUAGGCGGCCGGCCCAGUCCGGUGUGAAAGCUCCCGGCUCAACCGGGAGAGGUCAUCGGAUGCUAGUCGGCUUGAGGGGAGCAGAGGCAGACGGAAUUCCCGGAGUAGUGGUGAUAUGCGUAGAGACCGGGAGGAACACCGGUGGCGAAGGCGGUCUGCUGGGCUCGCCCUGACGCUCAGGGACGAAAGCGUGGGGAGCGAACCGG